Molecule: long non-coding RNA, 1287 nt
Organism: Zingiber officinale
Lineage: Eukaryota; Viridiplantae; Streptophyta; Magnoliopsida; Zingiberales; Zingiberaceae
Exons: 3
Source: RefSeq, a predicted model, not a curated record
AAUUAAGGGACUUAUGAACUUAACCCAAUGCAUGGAUUAAACCCUUGGAUUUAGUUGUUUAUAAGAGAAAUAGGCGGCGAAAAAAAAAGAGGAGUCUCGGCGGCAAUAAGAAGAAGGAAGGGAGAAGGGACUUCGACCUUGGAGGGAAGAACGAGCCAACACCAAGACUCCAAGCACCAAGGCACCUCUUAAAACCCUUUCCUUUCCACUUGUUUAGGUGAAGGAACUUAUGAUGUUGGAGGCUCGGAUCCUUGAUCGAACUGGGCUGGGUGGUACAUUCCCGAGGACCUUACAAUUCCGCAUUAGGAAUGAAUAAACAGUGAUUACGAUCAAGAAGGAAUUAAGUAGAAUCGAAUUUAGCCUUUAUAGGAUGACCGUCUAAGUUCAUGCACUUUUCUUCUUUCAUGGUAUCUGUAAUGGAUUUGAGUAUAGGGGUAUUGUUUAUUAAUUACAGACAAUAUUUUCUUAUUUUUUUUGGAUAUGUUAUGAAAAAAAAUUGGGUCGUUUCAUAUCCAUUCAAAUGGUUUUUGAGGAAAUUAAAAAAUAAUGUUCGUAACAAAACAAGAGUUGAGGGGUUAAUAUAUAAUGCUUAUCUGGUUAAAGAAGCAUAUUCUUUCUGCUCAUAUUAUUUUGUUGAUAGUGUGCAAACAAGACAUCGCAAGUGUCCUAGAAAUUUUGAUGAUGCUCCUAAGCCAAUAGACCCAUCGAUGCUUUCUAUUUUCAAGUUUCCCGGUAAGUCAAUGGGUGAUUAACCAAAGAAAAAUAUUAUAAUGAAUGUGUGGUAAGUAUACUUAAUAUACUUUAUAUUCUAUAAUAUAUUUAUUCUUUAUUAUACUAAAGCUUUAAUUCAACUUAUAAUUGCAGAAAAGAUUACAUGGGAGAAAGGUAAAGAGCAAUAAUUUAAAGAUGUUUGGAAUAGCUAUUGUUCCAAACUUUACAAAGACCUUCUUUAUUAUAUGAUAAAGAAGGGCACCAGGCCGACGUAUGUGCCAGUCGAGAUAUGGAGUGCAUGGACGACCACAUGGUCUACAGAAAGGUAUAAAGCAAAUGCUGAAAAGGCUUAGAGAAAAUAGAAAUAUAGAGCCAGGUGGCUCGAGCACUUGAACGGCUCGACAUACAUCAAGUUCUAGAUCUAUUGUUGGGCAUGUCAUAGAUCUGGAAUAUGACUAAGCCCGGCAACCUACUUGUAUAGAGGUCUUUCUUAAAACUCAUAAGAAAAAAGAUGACACAUUUGUUGGUACUAGAUCUAAGGUCAUACACGUAAGAUUAUUUAUUUAUUACAUUUAA